GUAAAUAUGCCGUUGAUUAAGCAUUCUUGUUCUGUUAAAUAAUUGACUUGGGGUAAAGUGUUUAAAAAACCGUUAACUUGACGUAAUUGCACUACCACGUGACCCCCGAUUCGUUAAAAUUCAAAGGCGAAGUUUGCUCCGGAUUUUUAAAAAAUGUUUUAAAAUGAAGCCGAGACGGCUGCCGACAUGUAAAAGUGGAGCGAGAAGUUGGAAGUUAAUAAAACAGCGCAGCCCAGCAAUUGCAGAGACGGUCGUCGGAAACUUUGUUAAACUGACAAAACGGGACAAUUCAGGUUUUAGAAAGAGCCACUUUACCGAAUACAGUCGAUGCUUUUUAUCAGUAUAUGGAGUAAU
Long non-coding RNA from Hypanus sabinus (Atlantic stingray), 354 nucleotides. RefSeq lists it as uncharacterized. Lineage: Eukaryota; Metazoa; Chordata; Chondrichthyes; Myliobatiformes; Dasyatidae. The record is from RefSeq and is a predicted model, not a curated record. The transcript has 2 exons.